AUGCUGCGAGAGCCGCAGGGCAAUCUCAGGAGGCUGGCGGAGUUCCUGGGGUGCGCGUUCUCGGAGGCGGAGGAGAAGGCCGGCGUCGUGGACGCCAUCUUGGAGCUCUGCGGCAUGGAGAAGCUAAUGGAGCCUGGGGUGAACCAGAGUGGUGAAAAGACGGGGGAGCAUUCCUCCGUCAGGAAGGGGGUCGCCGACGACCGGAGCAACCACAUGACGCCGGAGAUGGCGGCAAGGCUCGAUAAGAUCGUCCAAGAGGCGCUGCACGGAACCGGAUUUAGCUUUGGCAUCCCCACGCCACAGUAA
This 306-nucleotide ribosomal RNA is filed under the name Triticum aestivum (bread wheat). Its description in RNAcentral is "partial small subunit ribosomal RNA". Lineage: Eukaryota; Viridiplantae; Streptophyta; Magnoliopsida; Poales; Poaceae. The record is from RNAcentral.